This 301-nucleotide ribosomal RNA is filed under the name uncultured bacterium. Its description in RNAcentral is "partial 16S ribosomal RNA". It matches the Rfam family "Bacterial small subunit ribosomal RNA", at positions 512 to 810 of the family's 1533-position model. The record is from RNAcentral.
CAGCCGCGGGAAAACGUAGGUGGCAAGCGUUGUCCGGAAUUAUUGGGCGUAAAGGGCUCGCAGGCGGUUUCUUAAGUCUGAUGUGAAAGCCCCCGGCUCAACCGGGGAGGGUCAUUGGAAACUGGGAGACUUGAGUGCAGAAGAGGAGAGCGGAAUUCCACGUGUAGCGGUGAAAUGCGUAGAGAUGUGGAGGAACACCAGUGGCGAAGGCGACUCUCUGGUCUGUAACUGACGCUGAGGAGCGAAAGCGUGGGGAGCAAACAGGAUUAGAUACCCCCGUAGUCCCUGUCUCUUAUACACA